This 64-nucleotide transfer RNA is filed under the name Sclomina erinacea. Its description in RNAcentral is "tRNA-Phe". The record is from RNAcentral. Lineage: Eukaryota; Metazoa; Arthropoda; Insecta; Hemiptera; Reduviidae.
UUUAAGUAGCUUAAUUUAAAGCAUGACAUUGAAGUUGUUGGGAUGAGGAUUUUCCUCCUUGAAC